UUAAUUAAUGCAUUAAAUUAUUGAAGGCCCUUGGGCACCUCAGGCCUUCAAUAAUUUAAUGCAUUUAUUGA
Colobus angolensis palliatus is the source of this 71-nucleotide microRNA precursor. The record is from Ensembl. NCBI's taxonomy places the organism in Eukaryota, Metazoa, Chordata, Mammalia, Primates, Cercopithecidae.